Molecule: ribosomal RNA, 432 nt
Filed under: uncultured Gammaproteobacteria bacterium
Lineage: Bacteria; Pseudomonadati; Pseudomonadota; Gammaproteobacteria
Description: bacterial SSU rRNA
Rfam family: Bacterial small subunit ribosomal RNA
Source: RNAcentral
GAUCCUAGCUUGCUAGGAGGCGUCGACCGGCGGACGGGUGAGUAACACGUUAGAAUCUGCCCAUUAGAGGGGGAUAACCUGGGGAAACCCAGGCUAAUACCGCAUAAUCCCUACGGGGCAAAGCAGGGGAUCUUCGGACCUUGUGCUGAUGGAUGAGCUCGCGUCGGAUUAGCUUGUUGGUGAGGUAAUGGCUCACCAAGGCGACGAUCCGUAGCUGGUCUUAGAGGAUGAUCAGCCACACCGGGACUGAGACACGGCCCGGACUCCUACGGGAGGCAGCAGUGGGGAAUCUUGGACAAUGGGGGCAACCCUGAUCCAGCCAUGCCGCGUGUGUGAAGAAGGCCUUCGGGUUGUAAAGCACUUUCAGUAGGGAGGAAGGCUUAUCCUUAAUACGGAUGAGUACUUGACGUUACCUACAGAAGAAGCACCGGC